This 463-nucleotide ribosomal RNA is filed under the name uncultured Rhodocyclaceae bacterium. RNAcentral's name for it is "bacterial SSU rRNA". It matches the Rfam family "Bacterial small subunit ribosomal RNA", at positions 919 to 1382 of the family's 1533-position model. Lineage: Bacteria; Pseudomonadati; Pseudomonadota; Betaproteobacteria; Rhodocyclales; Rhodocyclaceae. The record is from RNAcentral.
ACCCGCACAAGCGGUGGAUGAUGUGGAUUAAUUCGAUGCAACGCGAAAACCUUACCUACCCUUGACAUGUCCGGAAUCCCGAAGAGAUUUGGGAGUGCUCGCAAGAGAACCGGAACACAGGUGCUGCAUGGCUGUCGUCAGCUCGUGUCGUGAGAUGUUGGGUUAAGUCCCGCAACGAGCGCAACCCUUGUCAUUAGUUGCCAUCAUUUGGUUGGGCACUCUAAUGAGACUGCCGGUGACAAACCGGAGGAAGGUGGGGAUGACGUCAAGUCCUCAUGGCCCUUAUGGGUAGGGCUUCACACGUCAUACAAUGGUCGGUACAGAGGGUUGCCAAGCCGCGAGGUGGAGCCAAUCCCAGAAAGCCGAUCGUAGUCCGGAUUGUUCUCUGCAACUCGAGAGCAUGAAGUCGGAAUCGCUAGUAAUCGCGGAUCAGCAUGUCGCGGUGAAUACGUUCCCGGGUCUU